UACGUAGGUGACAAGCGUUGUCCGGAUUUACUGGGCGUAAAGAGCGCGCAGGCGGUCGAUCAAGUCGAGUGUGAAAGCCCCCGGCUCAACUGGGGAGGGUCAUUCGAAACUGGUCGACUCGAAGGCAGGAGAGGGUAGUGGAAUUCCCGGUGUAGUGGUGAAAUGCGUAGAUAUCGGGAGGAACACCAGUGGCGAAGGCGACUACCUGGCCUGUUCUUGACGCUGAGGCGCGAAAGCUAGGGGAGCAAACAGG
Molecule: ribosomal RNA, 253 nt
Filed under: uncultured bacterium
Lineage: Bacteria
Description: partial 16S ribosomal RNA
Rfam family: Bacterial small subunit ribosomal RNA
Source: RNAcentral